This 253-nucleotide ribosomal RNA is filed under the name uncultured bacterium. RNAcentral describes it as "partial 16S ribosomal RNA". It matches the Rfam family "Bacterial small subunit ribosomal RNA", at positions 524 to 776 of the family's 1533-position model. The record is from RNAcentral.
UACGUAGGGUGCGAGCGUUGUCCGGAAUUAUUGGGCGUAAAGGGCUCGUAGGCGGUCUGUCACGUCGGGAGUGAAAACCCAGGGCUCAACCCUGGGCCUGCUUCCGAUACGGGCAGACUAGAGGUAUGCAGGGGAGAAUGGAAUUCCUGGUGUAGCGGUGAAAUGCGCAGAUAUCAGGAGGAACACCGGUGGCGAAGGCGGUGGGCUGGGCCGGUACUGACGCUGAGGAGCGAAAGCGUGGGGAGCGAACAGG